UACGGAGGGUGCAAGCGUUGUCCGGAUUUAUUGGGUUUAAAGGGUGCGUAGGCGGCCCGUUAAGUCAGCGGUGAAAUCCCAGGGCUCAACCGCGGAACUGCCAUUGAUACUGGAAGGCUUGAGUACAGACGAGGUGGGCGGAAUUGAAGAUGUAGCGGUGAAAUGCUUAGAUAUCUUCAAGAACACCGAUUGCGUAGGCAGCUUACUAGGCUGUAACUGACGCUGAGGCACGAAAGCGUGGGGAGCGAACAGG
This 253-nucleotide ribosomal RNA is filed under the name uncultured bacterium. RNAcentral describes it as "partial 16S ribosomal RNA". It matches the Rfam family "Bacterial small subunit ribosomal RNA", at positions 524 to 776 of the family's 1533-position model. The record is from RNAcentral.